Molecule: non-coding RNA, 5337 nt
Organism: Zootermopsis nevadensis
Lineage: Eukaryota; Metazoa; Arthropoda; Insecta; Blattodea; Termopsidae
Source: RefSeq, a predicted model, not a curated record
AAUUAAUAAAUGAAGUAUAAAAAAAUAUUGCAGGUUGCUGGAUUCGAACCACAGCCUUACCAAACCCCAAACUUAACAAUCCAGUGCCUUAACCCCUAGACAAUUAGACAUGAUGUCAUAAUUCUGUUAAAAUCUUCCUGAUAAGUCAACUAUGCAUUAUGUGAGAUAUGAGGAAGUUUUUAAACGUAAAAUGAGCUUGGUAGCGUAGUGGUUAAGGUACUAUUAUUUGGUUGUCAGUGUGUUUAAUAUUAAAUGUUCUGUGUUCGAAUCCCCAUGUAUGCUAUGUUUUCAGAUAUCGCCAGUGGCAGCAGCAGCACCAGCACAGUAAUAUAACCUGUAAUUAGAUGUUGGUUUGUUGUGGGGCGGAACCCCUAGAAAAUUUCACUUAAUAUAGAACACUCUUUUGUAUUUUUUUCCAUUUUGUAUCAUUUGCUGUGGGGGGGAAACCCUAAAAAACCCAAAGAAUUUCCAAAAAACAAAACAAAAAACUCUUUUGAGUAGAAGCAGACAGGAAAAGAAUCACAUUAAUUUUUAAAAUCUUUCAGAAUAAGGAAAACAAAUGAGCUUGAAGUAAUUAGUAACAAACUAAUAAAUCAUUUUGUGGGUCUGUUUACAAGCGGUCUCAGGCUGGAUGUGGUGCACUGACACACUGCUCUAGAUAUUCAGAGUAUAUUAACUCAGAAUGAAGGAUUUGGCUACUGGGGUGCAGCACCGGAAAGGAGUAGCACAAUAACUAGUAGGAAACUACAUAACUUCCUACAGUUACGUGUGCUUACGUUGCUAGUAAUCUUGUAACAGAAGCAGAAAAUAACGUUAUAGAAUGGUAGGCAUACGGGAAACAAUUUCUACCAGGUAAAGGAGUUCCAACUUGUCAAAAUUGGACAUCCACCUCAUGUGUGAGACAGUCAAGUAUUUCUUGCGUUGCUUGUGUGAGCCUCUGGUGACCAAGAUUUUGUAAAUGCUGCUGAGAACGCUCAUCCACAAGCUAGAAAUCACCGAAAAGAGACACAAGAUAUAGAUUGCGGAACGAAACCUUGUAGACACCCUGUACGACCUCAUACUUCUGUCUGUGUUUGCUUCUUCUUGGCCCAUAACCUGUUCUUUACUUCCACCCCCACUACAUUCAUUUAAUUACUACGUCAGUGGUUCUUCGAGAAAAGAACGUCCUUUCACUUUGUUUCCGGCGUUGCUGUGAAGAGGUACUGCGUGGAGAAGAGAGGAACAUACCCUAACAAGAAGUGGAAUUCAGAUGAUUUCUCCAAGACAAUACAAGGCAGGUGGUCCAUAGAAAAUACUUCACAAAAGUAGAUUCAUAAUUUUCAGUAGGAAAUAGAACCUGGAAAGUGAUACGAUCCAAAACUUAAAUGUUAAAAAGUUGCUUGAAGCAUUAUAAUUCAUGUUAUGUAAGACUCAAGUAAUCCAUCAGCAUCCCAUCCCAAACCCAACUCUGAUGUUCACACCAGGGGGAGGGGGGAAACAUCCCUAGAGAUAACUAACAGGGGGCUCUGCUCCACCAAAGAAAUUCUGCUGUUGGGUACACUGCAGUGAGGUGAUGACAAGUGUCGCAAAAGCCCAAAUAUUGUACAGCAGUGAUAUGAAGUACAGUACUUGCAAGAGUAUGAAGUUUGAGAAGGUAACAGUAUUAAGCUUUCUAUAGACUUCAAAGAAGCCAGGAUUAAUAUUGGUUUUCUACAUGCUUUAGUCCCCUCCAAAAUCCAACCCUUGGCGUCCAUGUCGCGGAGGGGGGUAACGUCCUCAGACGGCUAACAGGGCUCUGGUCCACCGAAGCCAAGGUGUGAGGUAUCAUGCUGAGGGCUGCAUGGCACAAAUCAUCCCUUCAGGGCACUGGGAUCCAGCAUACCACCUUAGUUUGCUCUCAGUAUCAGCCAGCCUGGGAAAGUUUAAAAGACAACCGGAGGCAGAAGCCCACCAGUUGUCAGAAAACUACCAGAAAAGUUCUGUGAUAUGGAGUCUCCAUUUUAAAGCUGGUCAUUCUCAGCAGGGAGUCAGUAUUUCUGGCAUACCACCACAGAGAGCUGGCAUUUGCAGCAGACCCAUGGAAGAAUGUGAUAAAGCCUUGUGGCCUUCUGGACGACAGGCAACAUUUGGCACAGACUGCGUGUCUGGAAUGCCAGAGAAAGCCAAGAUGGUACCAGGAGCAUAUGAAAACUGGGGUACAUGACACUACCUAAGUUUAAGGAGGCUCUGACCAGGGUGCUUACAAGGCCCAGGUCAAAGAGCAAUACCCCAAUUAAAGGGGAUAAUCCUCUAGAUAGACCCAGGGUCUCAGAGACCAGGGGUCUACAGGGAGGCCACCAAUGAAAGCUCUUUAAUGAAGAGCUUUUGAGGAUUUUGACAUUUGUCAGUCAUUUAGCAAAAUCGAAGGAUUAUCAUGAGAUCUCGCCAGGUAGGGUGCUGUGCUGUGCUUUGAUGUGGCUGGGGGCUACUGGUAGGUUAGAAGAAAAGGAAGCACAAAAGAUCAGUUAAUGGUCACUUGAAGCCCAUGCCCAUUUAUUUACAUUAUAUUACAUGCUUCAGUCCACAUGCGCCAUUGUUUGCUUUCUUUAAUUACUAAUUAUUGUGCUUUUCUCCAACUGAAAAUAUGUGUUCUGCUGCUGUGUAUGUUUUUUAUGCAAUUCUGUUGUUUAUGCAUGCAGCCUAUGUGACGUUAUGAAUUGGCCUGUUUGUCGAUUGAUACAUGCUCAUAUUGCAUUUCUUUGUUAUGUACUCCCACAUUAUUGAAAUGUGACAGAAUACUUUAAACAUGCUCUUAAUUAUAGAUAAUUCCACUUGUAUGUGUUGUGUGUACGCUGCAUAGCAUUUUACAUGACAUUUUAUUUGUUUUUUUCCCAAGUGCUGUGCUCUUCUAUAGCUGUUAAAGUACAGAUAAUUAUUGAAGGUUAUGUUUGUACACAUCUUAUUUAUGCCAUUGAGUUAAUAUGUACGGUCUACAUGUGAUGCUGUUUUAAUUUAAUUUUUUUUAAUUGUCCUAUCUGUUGCACUGAUGUAUGUGUUCAUAUUGAAUUUUUGUCAUGUUUGUUCACUGUUGAAUUGUAUAAAAUUGAUUAAACUUCCUGUUAAUUGUUCAUAAAAUACAAUUUUCUAUGUGUCCAUUGCAGAUAAAUAAUUUGUACGACAUCUGCCUGUUGAUAAAUUUCCAUCUGCUGGGAAGAGGCAACCAAUCUGAAUUGAGAGGGAAAUGAGCAUGCCUGGUGGAAUACGAAAUGGGUUGAUUUCUGUGAUGAGUGUAAUUUUUGUUCCAGAAUGUUAUGCAGGAGCUUUGAAGUUUCAGGGAGCCAUGAGAUACUGGAGAAGAGAGGUUACAGUACUUGUUACUAACAGGCAUCAAAGAAUCCUGAUCUAAUUCUUGUGUUCAUGUGUUUCAGUGCAAACAUCCCAUGGGGCCAUUAUCCUUUGCUUUCUGAGAAUUCUGUGUUCUGCUGUUGUGUACAUAAAUAUGUAUUCAAAUUUGUUGUAUAUUUUGUUGCAUGUAUUGUUUAUUUAACUGUGUUCUUUUUACGUGUAUUGUCGUUUAAAUUCCAAUAUUUUGAUAUGGUAUAUUUAUUGUAUGUUCAUAUUGCAUUUCUUGCUUCUUUAAUUCCCUGUUAAUUAAAUAUGGUACAGAGUAAAAUUGAUAUUAAUUAUAUUCUUACUAUGAAAAUGUUUCCUUAUUUACAUUGAGUGUACUUCAUUUUGAUGUUUUUCUUAUUUUUUUGUGAAUUUGAUAUGCGUGUGCUGAGUCUGUUGUAUUAUUUCAUGCCAAAUGUAACACUAGUUUCAUCUUAAGGCUAAUAUCUCGAUGCACACGAGAUAUGUUUGUCUGGGAGUGUUUUAAAACUUUGAUUUCAGGAGUUUCCUCACAGGCCGGCCACAUUUAUCGGCGUUUCCAAGGCAACCAUUCUGAAGUGGCAGGAAAAUGAGCAUGCCUGGUGGAAUACGAAAUGGGUUGAUUUCUGUGAUGAGUGUAAUUUUUGUUCCAGAAUGUUAUGCAGGAUCUUUGAAGUUUCAGGGAGCCAUGAAAUACUAGAGAAGAGAGGUUACAGUACUUGUUACUAACAGGCGUCAAAAAAUCCUGAUCUAAUUCUUGUGUUCAUGUGUUUCAGUGCAAACAUGCCAUUGGGCCAUUAUCAUUUGCUUUCUGGGAAUUCUGUGUUCUGCUGUUGUGUACAUAAAUAUGUAUUCAAAUUUGUUGUACGUCUUAUUUAUUGUGCUGUUAUUUGUACACUUAUUAUAUCAAUUCUAAUAUCUUGUUAUGGUUUAUUCGUUGUAUGUUCGUAUUGCAUUUCUUGCUUCUCUAAUUCCCCAUUAAUUGUGAUACAAAGUAAAAUUAAUUAAAAUUGACAUUAAUUAUAUUCUUACAAUGCAAAUGCUUGGCUUAUUUAUAUUACUUGUAUAUGUUGAGUGUACUUCAUUUCGAUGUUUUUCCUCCUUAGUUGUGAAUUUGAUAUGUGUGUGCUGAUUCUGUUGUAUUAUUUCAUGCCAAUUAUAACACUAGUUUCAUCUUAAGGCUAGUAUCUCGAUGCACACGAGAUAUGUUUGUCUGGGAGUGUUUUAAAACCUUGAUUUCAGGAGUUCCCUCAUAGGCCGGUCACAUUUAUUGGCAUUUCCAAGGCAACCUGUCUGAAGUGGCAGGAAAAUGAGCAUGCCUGGUGGAAUACGAAGUGGGUUGAUUUCUGUGACGAGUGUAAUUUUUGUUCCAGAAUGUUAUGCAGGAGCUUUGAUGUUUCAGGGAGCCAUGAGAUACUGGAGAAGAGAGGUUACAGUACUUGUUACUAACAGGCGUCAAAGAAUCCUGAUCUAAUUCUUGUGUUCGUGUGUUUCAGUGCAAACAUCCUUUGCUUUCUGGGAAUUCUGUGUUCUGCUGUUGUGUACAUAAAUAUGUAUUCAAAUUUGUUGUAUGUAUUGCUUAUUUAACUGUGUACUUUUUUUAAUGUAUUGUUGUUUAUAUUCCAAUAUUUUGAUAUGGUAUAUUCAUUGCAUGUUCAUAUUGCAUUUCUUGCUUCUGUAAUUCCGUGUUAAUUAAAUGUGAUAGAGAGUAAAAUUGAUAUUAAUUAUAUUCUUACUAUGAAAAUGUUCCCUUAUUUACAUUGAGUGUACUACAUUUUGAUGUUGUCUUGUUAUUUGUAAUUUUUGUGCAUUUUAUAUUUUUUGUGCUCCAAGCUGUCAUAGUAAAGCUGCUGUAUUGACACACACAGGACAUAUUCUUUGCUUGGGGCUGUUUUGAAAGUAUUUCAGGGCUUCCGACAUCAGGCCAUGUUGAUGGGUAUUUGCGAAUGAUGGUGGGGCCUGUCUGCUAGGAAGAGGCAAUCAAUCAGAAAUGACUGGUGAGUGUGCAUA